CCUACGGGUGGCUGCAGUGGGGAAUAUUGGACAAUGGGCGAAAGCCUGAUCCAGCCAUGCCGCGUGUGUGAAGAAGGCCUUCGGGUUGUAAAGCACUUUCAGUGGGGAAGAAAGCCUUGGGACUAAUACCCUCGAGGAAGGACAUCACCCACAGAAGAAGCACCGGCUAACUCCGUGCCAGCAGCCGCGGUAAUACGGAGGGUGCGAGCGUUAAUCGGAAUUACUGGGCGUAAAGCGCGCGUAGGCGGUCUGAUAAGCCGGUUGUGAAAGCCCCGGGCUCAACCUGGGAACGGCAUCCGGAACUGUCAGGCUAGAGUGCAGGAGAGGAAGGUAGAAUUCCCGGUGUAGCGGUGAAAUGCGUAGAGAUCGGGAGGAAUACCAGUGGCGAAGGCGGCCUUCUGGACUGACACUGACGCUGAGGUGCGAAAGCGUGUGUAGCAAACAGGAUUAGAUACCCCAGUAGUC
Molecule: ribosomal RNA, 465 nt
Filed under: Vreelandella stevensii
Lineage: Bacteria; Pseudomonadati; Pseudomonadota; Gammaproteobacteria; Oceanospirillales; Halomonadaceae
Description: partial 16S ribosomal RNA
Rfam family: Bacterial small subunit ribosomal RNA
Source: RNAcentral